This 363-nucleotide unclassified non-coding RNA is filed under the name uncultured fungus. RNAcentral describes it as "partial contains 5.8S ribosomal RNA and internal transcribed spacer 2". The stretch from base 1 to 133 matches the Rfam family "5.8S ribosomal RNA", at positions 22 to 154 of the family's 154-position model. Lineage: Eukaryota; Fungi. The record is from RNAcentral.
UGGCUCUCGCAUCGAUGAAGAACGCAGCGAAAUGCGAUAAGUAAUGUGAAUUGCAGAAUUCAGUGAAUCAUCGAAUCUUUGAACGCACCUUGCACCCUUUGGUAUUCCGAAGGGUACGUCCGUUUGAGUGUCAUUGUAAUCUCACUUCAACAACUUUUGUUGAAUGUGGACUUGGACGUUGUCGUGUGUAGCGACUCGUCUCAAAUGCUUUAGUGUACCCUGCUUUGCAGCGUCUCAGUGUGAUAAACAUCUUCACUGUUCAGUCCUUUUUGGACACGCUCGUGGUGUGGGCUCUAUGCUUUCCAACCGUCUUUGGACAAUCUCUGACAAUUUGACCUCAAAUCGGACGGGACUACCCGCUGA